CGGGGUGUAGCGCAGCUUGGUUAGCGUACUUGACUGGGGGUCAAGGGGUCGAGAGUUCGAAUCUCUCCACUCCGACCA
Molecule: transfer RNA, 78 nt
Filed under: Eubacteriales Family XIII. Incertae Sedis bacterium
Lineage: Bacteria; Bacillati; Bacillota; Clostridia; Peptostreptococcales; Anaerovoracaceae
Description: tRNA-Pro
Rfam family: tRNA
About the family: Transfer RNA (tRNA) molecules are approximately 80 nucleotides in length. Their secondary structure includes four short double-helical elements and three loops (D, anti-codon, and T loops).
Source: RNAcentral